This 820-nucleotide long non-coding RNA is filed under the name Homo sapiens (human). RNAcentral describes it as "HSALNT0233121". Lineage: Eukaryota; Metazoa; Chordata; Mammalia; Primates; Hominidae. The record is from RNAcentral.
GUGGAGUUCACGGAGCGGUUAGUUGCUGAGCAGUCUGUCCACUGCCUCCCAGCAACGUGCUUUGAGUACCCGAAUUUCAUCCGAGUGGUCAUCACAGUCCCCGAGGUGAUGAUGCUGGAGGCGUGCAGCCGGAUCCAGGAGUUCUGUGAGCAGCACUACCAUUGUGCUGAAGGCAGCCAGGAGGAGUGUGAUAAAUAGGCCUGCAUCCAUUCUCCUGAGGAUGUGUCCCAUCUAGGGAAGGCUGGACUAGGCCUUGCGGCUCCUCAGGGACUCAGGUGGCCCUACUGGGAGAGGGGCCUCAAAUGCACCAUGUCAAGGGUUCAAGAUUGUUCCUGCUUUUCCCCAAGUACAACCACACCCACACUCAGAUCCUCCUCAUUCACAUCGCAGAUUCUCCCUUGCUCUGCGCUGCUAGAGUGACUCACUAAUUCAUUAAUCUGCCUCCCUCUCGUAAGAUUUCCUUCUUUUUUUCUUGAAAGUACCAGGUGAACAAAGUUUACCAGAAAGCAGUUGAGACAAGAAAAUAAGAGCUCAGGAUGAGGGAAAAGAAAAAGAUUGAGAGAAUUUGUGCCCCCAACCAUUUCCUCAGACUCUAAGAAAGAACACGCUCUCUCCAGGCAGGUCUGAAGCUCAACUCUCUUAUUGCCUCACUUCAGGUAUACCUCACUUUACACAAUAGAAUUAUAACUGGAAAGAAGUUGGGGACACAUGUAUUUGGUGAUUACAUUUUAAACACAUUAGGAAAAGUUGCUAUUUGAACUUUUUAUUGAUUUUUGGGGGGAGUAAAGAAUUAUUUUGUGAUGCAAAUAAAUAUCCUUUA